RNAcentral lists this long non-coding RNA (264 nucleotides) under Elaeis guineensis (African oil palm). RNAcentral's name for it is "long non-coding RNA (EGUI_LNC027616)". Lineage: Eukaryota; Viridiplantae; Streptophyta; Magnoliopsida; Arecales; Arecaceae. The record is from RNAcentral.
UUGGAGGAUUUUACAAGUCUAGAUUUCAAGUCAGAUCUUUUUUUCUUUUUUGUUGUUGAUAGAUAUCUAUUUUCUCCUACAUCAUCCAGCAUGUCAAUCUUAUUCAUGAGCUUUUUCAUUAUAUGAGUGAUGUUUCUAAUAUUAGUUUUGCUCCAAUGUCUCAACUUCGAAUGCAAGAACCUCAGCUUGAUGACAAUGUUUUUAACAUCAUCUUCUGAGUGUGGAGCUUUACUCCACCAAAAUUUAAUUAGAUUGUCAAAGCCU